GAUUAUUAGUAAAUGGCGCCAAAAUAACGAUUUUAUUCAGUCUAAAAUUCAGACCAUUUCAGCACAUUUCAGACAAUCUAUAAUAGAUGGAAUGACGAGAAAAUUUUCGGAAAGUCAAGCCAAAUUUAAUUGUCUGGACGAUCAAACGCGACACACAGAAUUUUUAUUGUGAAAAUUCACGUCAGUGUCAAGGAUGGCUUCUUCUAAGAACCUAAGGAGAUCUGCGCGAGUAAAAACUCUUGUGAAAUACACAGAAGAUAGUGACGAGGGCACACCACAAGGCACUCCCCAAUCUAAUAUAUUAAAGGUCGAGUUAGAAAAGCAGCUUGAAGAUGUCGAAGAGGACGUACAAAAACCACUUGAAUUAUUUUCUAAUAAGGAUGUGAGUGGAAGAAAACUGUAUGGAUUUCAAACGCCAACAAAAAGGAAUAACAUGAUGAUUAAAGCCAAUCAGUGUCGUACACCUGAGACUCCCAAAAGUUUCAAGACACUUCCAGUCUUAAAAAUUGUUCUUGACAAGAUUAUGAUGAGAGAUUUUCAGGAAAAUCAAGUUUUGAACAAUGAUGACAUUGAAACUAGAGUGUCUCGAAAACGAUAUUUGCCCAGUGUAAAUUCGAGUGGUGACGAGAGCGUGUCAGAAGAUAGCGAAUAUGUACCUACAGAUAAUGAAGUCAGUUCAGAGUCUGAUGGAACUUCUGAUAAAAGUGAAAAUAGUGAAAAUUCUGACAUGAGUGAGGAAAACAAUGUUAGAAGGGGAAUUAAACAGAGAGUAUUAAAACCUUUACCAAAACGUGACGUGCAAAGUACACCUAAAAGACCAGGAAGAGGACGUAAGACUGUGGCAUACAAAGAUUAUCACAUAAAAACUGAUGAAUAUUUUGAAUCUCAAUCGGAAAAAAUAAUUACGUCUGAUCAUACAUUAGGAAGACUUCGGAACGCUCGUCUUACCAAAGAUACUUUAGGCGAAUUAUUAACAAAUCAAAGUCACAUUUCUACAAUACAUAAAAAGCGUAUUUGCUCCUUGACAGAAAAUUGUAAAUCGUUUUUUCCUAUGUGGCAAUUCAUAUUGGAAGAAGGUUACAGUUUACUACUUUACGGAAUAGGUUCGAAAAGAAAUUUAAUAAAUGAUUUUCAUAAUGAAAUCAUAACCAAUCAUCCAACAUUGAUUAUAAAUGGAUUUUUUCCCAGCUUAACGCUAAAAGAUAUUCUUGAUAAUAUAACAAGUUUGUUAGAUGUAGAUAGUCCAUCAAAUCCUAAUGAUUGUUUAGAACUUAUCGAGACAAUUAUGAGGAAUAAUCCAGAUGAUAGACUUUAUUUAAUAGUUCAUAAUAUUGAUGGAAUAAUGCUACGUUCGAAUAAAGCUCAAAAUAUGCUUGCUAGCUUAGCAACUGUUCCAAAUAUUCAUGUCAUAGCGUCUGCCGAUCAUAUAAAUGCAUCACUCCUUUGGGAUCAUAUAAAACGGGCAAAGUUCAAUUUUUACUGGUGGGAUGCGACAACAUUAUUGCCAUAUAAAGCGGAAACUUCAUACGAAAGCUCAUUAUUAGUUCAACAAAGCAGUGGACUCGUCUUGUCUUCCCUCCAGAAUGUUUUCCUGUCCCUCACGUCAAAUGCUCGAACAAUUUAUCUCAUUCUUGUAAAAUAUCAAUUGAGCAAUAGCAAUAGUAAUUUUGCAGGGAUGCCAUUCAAGGAUCUAUAUCGGUCAGCGCGUGAACAGUUCCUGGUCAGUUCCGAUUUAGCAUUAAGAGCACAACUAACUGAAUUUAUUGAUCACAAAUUACUACGGACUAAACGCACAGUUGAUGGCGCUGAACAUUUAAUAAUACCCCUUGAUAAGACUCUUCUAAAACAAUUUCUGGAGCAACAUGGGUCAUGAUUUAUUUGAUGACUUUGAGUUACAUAUUUUUAAGUCAGGGUUAGUAAAAGAGAGAAGGAUUCGGUCAGAAGGAGAUGGAGAUUAACAUUAAACCUAUCUGAUGAAUCAAAUUCUCUUAGCAACAUAUUUGUAUUGUUGCUGGCAAUCACAUCAUGUGUUAUUGGAAUGGCAGCGACUGGAUCGUGUUUAACGGCGAGGUCUGCCUGGCUGUCAAUUCUCAGUGUUAAUUAAACUUGAUUCAUCUAGUCUCUUAAGAGUGGUCUUCAUGUGCAUCUCUCGAGUGAUAUCGCCAAGGUGAAACGAACUAUGCCAACCAUUCCUACACAGCCGUGAUGCUAAUCACAACGGAAGAAAAGCGAAAUUUGUCACGAAAAUCGUGCAAAAGUUUUGGUGAGUUAUCGAAAAAGCAACAACGAUUACGUCAUUACGCGAAGUUUUAUGCGAUUGUAGGAGCUAGUAGUAGUCAAUUGUGUAAAAAUGACUUGAUGGACGUUAGUGAAUCGGACAAUGGUGAUGAAGAUCAAACGCAAAACGUGCAGUAUUUAAAAGUGAAUAUCGAACACAAUAGUGACGAUGAAAAUUACAUAAAUAAUGACAAUGGAAAUUACAUUUCUAGGGAUGAUAAUAAUGACACUUCUUAUGAUAGUUGUAGUUGAACAAGCGUUGUGCGUUACGAAAAAACAGCAAUGAAGUGAGGAGUGGGAACGACAAUAGGCAUGAAUACCGACACAUUUCAAUUUCAAGCCCAAAAUUACAAAUCCUGGACAGCACUGAUUUAUUUUGUCAUUUUUCAUCGAAAAUAUUUAAUAAGAUGACCUAUCGUAGAUCAGCAUAGUUAUAGCAUGAUACUAUAGGAUGAGACAGCAGUUUUAUAGUAUUGAUCUACAGUAGUUUUAUAAUAUUAAUCUACAGUAAUUUUAUAUUUAUCCUAAUUAAAUUUACUACAAGCGAACUACUAUUGUUCGAUAAAAUUAACCUAUUGAGAGAAUAUACAAAUAUGAUCCCCGAGCGAACUAAAAGUAAACUACAGAAGCCUGAUAGAAGUGAGCUACGAGUUCUCGAUGAAAGUAAACAAUAGUAGGGAUAUUAAUAUAUUAUUUCUUAUUUUAUCUAUUAUUAUCUUACUUUUGUGAGCUACUUGGGAUCUGUGAGGUACGUAGGAAGAUCGAUUCUAGUUCACCGAUUGUUGGUUGAUUAUGUACUACUUUUAAUGUGCUUGUAUGUUAUCUGGGGGAAAUAUUACGAGUUAUGGUAGCAAUAACUAUUAAAAUUAACGGAAUUAAAGUUGAGCUCUUAAAAUUGAGCUCUCAUCGGAGAUGCGUCAGACAGAUCCAAUUUGAUCCGCAAUGUUGUUGCUUACGUCAAGCUUCGAUUUAAGUGAGACGUCUCUUGUCGGUUGCUUAUCGUCGAUGCCUCUUCCGCGUAUCGUAAUUCCGCGUACGAAUCCGCAUUAUUCUUUCAUCGAGACAUUCAUUCCUACGUGAUGAGUCGCGGGUGUUUUAUGGGCGCUGCUACGCGAGAGCGGGACGAGGCGCGACGGCGAGGACAAAGAGGAGGAGGAAGAAGGAAAAGAAGAAGCAGCAAUAUGUACCGUUGCACGUGGCAACGAUAUAUUUCGCAGCUAUUGUGAAUACACACUAGCGUACGUGACAUCAUUCGUCCUCGCAAUUACAUAAAGAUAUCGGCGUCGUUAGUCCGCUAACAUCAGUGAUCCUUACGUGAUUCCACGCCGCGCAUAUGCAUUUAACACAAGGCACGCAUUUAAUGCUCCCGCAUAAUCGCGUCAUGCCGACAUUUGAGGACUGAUGGCUGCACGAGUGGUCGUGGCUGAUGAUCAAAUUAAAAAGAAACACGAUAUAAGCAAGCAUUGUGUCUCGGAAGCGCCGAGAACGCCGGAAUGUCGCCGAGACCACGGUAAUUUUUUCGAUUAAGCUCUGGAUUCGUUAUAUUUCGCAAUGUAAUUUUAUUUGUAUAACUUUAUUACAACUGUAAUUUGCUUCUAAAUCUAUUGCCACGCUAUUGCACCAAUCUUUCUUAAAAUUUUAAUAUGCUUAUCAGUUUUCAAUUGAACGCACGGUAGCACAUAAUAAAUGGAUUGUCGAAUCGGAGUAAUAGAAAAUCUUAAAUUAUCUUGAAAAUAAAAAGGAUUUAUUAUUGUAAAUCAUCCAAUAGAUGAUUUAUAGGCGGCAUUAAAUUGGGGACUGUAAAUCCUUUUUGUAGAAGCGAGUGGAGAUCAAUUGAUCAAUAAUGAAAUAUAAAAAAA
Monomorium pharaonis (pharaoh ant) is the source of this 4136-nucleotide RNA transcript. It is a transcript of the gene named origin recognition complex subunit 2, with no coding region annotated. NCBI's taxonomy places the organism in Eukaryota, Metazoa, Arthropoda, Insecta, Hymenoptera, Formicidae. The record is from RefSeq and is a predicted model, not a curated record. The transcript is spliced from 13 exons.